This 497-nucleotide ribosomal RNA is filed under the name uncultured bacterium. Its description in RNAcentral is "partial 16S ribosomal RNA". It matches the Rfam family "Bacterial small subunit ribosomal RNA", at positions 28 to 507 of the family's 1533-position model. The record is from RNAcentral.
GAUGAACGCUGGCGGCGUGCCUAAUACAUGCAAGUCGAGCGAACAGACGAGGAGCUUGCUCCUCUGACGUUAGCGGCGGACGGGUGAGUAACACGUGGAUAACCUACCUAUAAGACUGGGAUAACUUCGGGAAACCGGAGCUAAUACCGGAUAAUAUAUUGAACCGCAUGGUUCAAUAGUGAAAGACGGUUUUGCUGUCACUUAUAGAUGGAUCCGCGCCGCAUUAGCUAGUUGGUAAGGUAACGGCUUACCAAGGCAACGAUGCGUAGCCGACCUGAGAGGGUGGUCGGCCACACUGGAACUGAGACACGGUCCAGACUCCUAAGGGAGGCAGCAGUAGGGAAUGUUCCGCAAUGGGCGGAAGCCUGACGGAGCAACGCCGCGUGAGUGAUGGAGGUCUUCGGAUCGUAAAACUCUGUUAUUAGGGAAGAACAAAUGUGUAAGUAAAUAUGCACGUCUUGACGGUACCUAAUCAGAAAGCCACGGCUAACUACGUG